AGGACGAACGCUGGCGGCACGCUUAACACAUGCAAGUCGAACGUGAAACUCGGAGCUUGCUCCGGGUGGAAAGUGGCGAACGGGUGAGUAACACGUGAGGAACCUGCCCCGAAGACUGGGAUAACACCGGGAAACCGGUGCUAAUACUGGGUGCCCUCUCUGGAUCGCAUGAUCCGGCGAGGAAAUGGAUUCCGCUUCGGGAUGGCCUCGCGGCCCAUCAGCUUGUUGGUGGGGUAACGGCCUACCAAGGCAACGACGGGUAGCUGGUCUGAGGAGAUCGUACCACGCC
RNAcentral lists this ribosomal RNA (289 nucleotides) under uncultured soil bacterium. RNAcentral's name for it is "partial 16S ribosomal RNA". It matches the Rfam family "Bacterial small subunit ribosomal RNA", at positions 26 to 314 of the family's 1533-position model. The record is from RNAcentral.